This 330-nucleotide ribosomal RNA is filed under the name uncultured soil bacterium. RNAcentral describes it as "bacterial SSU rRNA". It matches the Rfam family "Bacterial small subunit ribosomal RNA", at positions 26 to 383 of the family's 1533-position model. The record is from RNAcentral.
AGAACGAACGCUGGCGGCAUGCCUAAUACAUGCAAGUCGAACGAACUCUUCGGAGUUAGUGGCGCACGGGUGCGUAACGCGUGGGAAUCUGCCCCUUGGUUCGGAAUAACAGUUGGAAACGACUGCUAAUACCGGAUGAUGACGAAAGUCCAAAGAUUUAUCGCCAAGGGAUGAGCCCGCGUAGGAUUAGCUAGUUGGUGAGGUAAAGGCUCACCAAGGCAACGAUCCUUAGCUGGUCUGAGAGGAUGAUCAGCCACACUGGGACUGAGACACGGCCCAGACUCCUACGGGAGGCAGCAGUAGGGAAUAUUGGACAAGUGGGCGAAAGCC